Molecule: long non-coding RNA, 309 nt
Filed under: Bos taurus (domestic cattle)
Lineage: Eukaryota; Metazoa; Chordata; Mammalia; Artiodactyla; Bovidae
Description: long non-coding RNA NONBTAT013488
Source: RNAcentral
CGCUAAUACUGUACAAUUUCUAAAAGAUUAGAUUAAAGCUGGUAAAUUAACAGUACACAGGUUGGCCUAGAGGGAGAUAGUUAUCUCAAACUAUCUGAACUGAAGAAAAAAAAUGCAUUUUUCCUUCUGUAAAUGCCCAGUUUUGCCUAAAUUAGGCAGCCCCAGCUACUGACACAAACACAGCGGAGGCAGAGCAUUUUCACUGUGAAAGCACAAGUCUGGAAACUGAAGCAGUGGCGCAAACCUGGGGAUGCAUUUAGCCAGAGCACCAUCGAAAACUAGCCAGGUGCUGAGGACACACGGCCGUGG